GAUGAACGCUAGCUACAGGCUUAACACAUGCAAGUCGAGGGGCAGCAUGAUCUUAGCUUGCUAAGUUUGAUGGCGACCGGCGCACGGGUGAGUAACACGUAUCCAACCUGCCGUUGACUCGGGGUUAGCCUUUCGAAAUAAAGAUUAAUACCCGUUGGCAUAGUUCUUCCGCAUGGUAGAACUAUUAAAGAAUUUCGGUCAUCGAUGGGGAUGCGUUCGAUUAGGUUGUUGGCGGAGUAACGGCCCACCAAGCCUUCGAUGGAUAGGGGUUCGGAGAGGAAGGUCCCCCAGAAUGGAACUACGACACGGACCAAACUGGUACGGGAGGCAGCGGAGAGGAGGAUUGGUGAAUGGACGAGAGUCUGAACCAACCAAGUAGCGUGAAGGAUGACUGGCCUAUGGGUUGUAAACUUCUGUUAUACGAGAAUAAAGUGAGGCACGUGUGCCUUUUUGAAGGUACCGUAUGAAUAAGGAUCGGCUAACUCCGUG
This 489-nucleotide ribosomal RNA is filed under the name uncultured bacterium. Its description in RNAcentral is "partial 16S ribosomal RNA". It matches the Rfam family "Bacterial small subunit ribosomal RNA", at positions 28 to 507 of the family's 1533-position model. The record is from RNAcentral.